This 735-nucleotide ribosomal RNA is filed under the name uncultured bacterium. RNAcentral's name for it is "bacterial SSU rRNA". It matches the Rfam family "Bacterial small subunit ribosomal RNA", at positions 28 to 776 of the family's 1533-position model. The record is from RNAcentral.
GACGAACGCUGGCGGCCCUUCUAAGACAUGCAAGUCGAACGAGCGAGAGAGAGCUUGCUCUCUUGAGCGAGUGGCGAACGGGUGAGUAACGCGUGAGGAACCUGCCUCAAAGAGGGGGACAACAGUUGGAAACGACUGCUAAUACCGCAUAAGCCCACGACCCGGCAUCGGGUUGAGGGAAAAGGAGCAAUCCGCUUUGAGAUGGCCUCGCGUCCGAUUAGCUAGUUGGUGAGGUAACGGCCCACCAAGGCGACGAUCGGUAGCCGGACUGAGAGGUUGAACGGCCACAUUGGGACUGAGACACGGCCCAGACUCCUACGGGAGGCAGCAGUGGGGAAUAUUGCACAAUGGGGGAAACCCUGAUGCAGCGACGCCGCGUGGAGGAAGAAGGUCUUCGGAUUGUAAACUCCUGUUGUUGAGGAAGAUAAUGACGGUACUCAACAAGGAAGUGACGGCUAACUACGUGCCAGCAGCCGCGGUAAAACGUAGGUCACAAGCGUUGUCCGGAAUUACUGGGUGUAAAGGGAGCGCAGGCGGGAAGACAAGUUGGAAGUGAAAUCUAUGGGCUCAACCCAUAAACUGCUUUCAAAACUGUUUUUCUUGAGUAGUGCAGAGGUAGGCGGAAUUCCCGGUGUAGCGGUGGAAUGCGUAGAUAUCGGGAGGAACACCAGUGGCGAAGGCGGCCUACUGGGCACCAACUGACGCUGAGGCUCGAAAGUGUGGGUAGCAAACAGG